UACGAAGGGGGCUAGCGUUGCUCGGAAUUACUGGGCGUAAAGGGCGCGUAGGCGGAUAGUUUAGUCAGAGGUGAAAGCCCAGGGCUCAACCCUGGAAUUGCCUUUGAUACUGGCUAUCUUGAGUUCGGGAGAGGUGAGUGGAACUCCGAGUGUAGAGGUGAAAUGCGCAGAUAUCGGGAGGAACACCAAUGGCGAAGGCAGCUUGCUGGGACGGUACUGACGCUGAGGCGCGAAAAGCGGUGGG
RNAcentral lists this ribosomal RNA (244 nucleotides) under uncultured bacterium. Its description in RNAcentral is "partial 16S ribosomal RNA". It matches the Rfam family "Bacterial small subunit ribosomal RNA", at positions 524 to 766 of the family's 1533-position model. The record is from RNAcentral.